UGAUGAUGUAAACUACAUGUUU
RNAcentral lists this non-coding RNA (22 nucleotides) under Arabidopsis thaliana (thale cress). Lineage: Eukaryota; Viridiplantae; Streptophyta; Magnoliopsida; Brassicales; Brassicaceae. The record is from RNAcentral.